This 503-nucleotide ribosomal RNA is filed under the name uncultured bacterium. RNAcentral's name for it is "partial 16S ribosomal RNA". It matches the Rfam family "Bacterial small subunit ribosomal RNA", at positions 30 to 523 of the family's 1533-position model. The record is from RNAcentral.
AUUGAACGCUGGCGGCAGACUUAACACAUGCAAGUCGAGCGGGGUGAUGGUGCUUGCACUAUCACUUAGCGGCGGACGGGUGAGUAAUGCUUAGGAAUCUGCCUAUUGGUGGGGGACAACAUCUCGAAAGGGAUGCUAAUACCGCAUACGUCCUACGGGAGAAAGCAGGGGAUCACUUGUGACCUUGCGCUAAUAGAUGAGCCUAAGUCGGAUUAGCUAGUUGGUGGGGUAAAGGCCUACCAAGGCGACGAUCUGUAGCGGGUCUGAGAGGAUGAUCCGCCACACUGGGACUGAGACACGGCCCAGACUCCUACGGGAGGCAGCAGUGGGGAAUAUUGGACAAUGGGGGGAACCCUGAUCCAGCCAUGCCGCGUGUGUGAAGAAGGCCUUAUGGUUGUAAAGCACUUUAAGCGAGGAGGAGGCUCUUUUGGUUAAUACCCAAGAUGAGUGGACGUUACUCGCAGAAUAAGCACCGGCUAACUCUGUGCCAGCAGCCGCGGUAA